This 492-nucleotide ribosomal RNA is filed under the name uncultured bacterium. RNAcentral describes it as "partial 16S ribosomal RNA". It matches the Rfam family "Bacterial small subunit ribosomal RNA", at positions 29 to 507 of the family's 1533-position model. The record is from RNAcentral.
AGUGAACGCUGGCGGUAGGCCUAACACAUGCAAGUCGAACGGCAGCACAGUAAGAGCUUGCUCUUACGGGUGGCGAGUGGCGGACGGGUGAGGAAUACAUCGGAAUCUACUUUUUCGUGGGGGAUAACGUAGGGAAACUUACGCUAAUACCGCAUACGACCUACGGGUGAAAGCAGUGGAUCUUCGGACCUUGCGCGAUUGAAUGAGCCGAUGUCGGAUUAGUUAGUUGGCGAGGUAAAGGCCCACCAAGGCGACGAUCCGUAGCUGGUCUGAGAGGAUGAUCAGCCACACUGGAACUGAGACACGGUCCAGACUCCUACGGGAGGCAGCAGUGGGGAAUAUUGGACAAUGGGCGCAAGCCUGAUCCAGCCAUACCGCGUGGGUGAAGAAGGCCUUCGGGUUGUAAAGCCCUUUUGUUGGGAAAGAAAAGCAGCAGGUUAAUCCCCCGCUGUUCUGACGGUACCCAAAGAAUAAGCACCGGCUAACUUCGUG